AUAUUUGAAUAAGUUUGAUAUCAUAAACUUAUAAAUAUAAAUUUCUAGUGAUUAGUGAAGAAUCGUAAUAUAUGAUUGGGAUAUUAUUGAUUAUUGAUUUCGUGAUUGAAUAUAGUGUUUUUAAGGAUGAAAUGUGAUUAUAUUUUGAUUUCAAAAACGACAUAGAUUCCUUAUUUUUGUUGAACGGUUUAGAUUGAAGGGAAUUAAUUUUAUUGAACGGUUUAGAUUGAAUUGGAUCAUAUAAAGUUUAGGAGAUUGUUAAGACCAAAUUACCUUUACUGAUUUUGAAUAGCAAAGAACAAAAUUCAAAAUUGAAGCCAAAUUAGACAAAAUUUCAAUUUGUACUUCCCUUUUAAUAAUAAAGGGAUUAAAAAUUAAUGUGUA
RNAcentral lists this small RNA (384 nucleotides) under Arabidopsis thaliana (thale cress). RNAcentral describes it as "ATSL092730". Lineage: Eukaryota; Viridiplantae; Streptophyta; Magnoliopsida; Brassicales; Brassicaceae. The record is from RNAcentral.